This 443-nucleotide unclassified non-coding RNA is filed under the name Carex appressa. RNAcentral's name for it is "partial external transcribed spacer". Lineage: Eukaryota; Viridiplantae; Streptophyta; Magnoliopsida; Poales; Cyperaceae. The record is from RNAcentral.
UUUGGUGCGGCCACCGACAUGGGGCUGUCUCUUCACUCUCCCUCCUGUCAUUUAAUUUGUCGGGGCUGGGAUGCUUGUGAUCGGUUGCCUGUGUAGCACUACCCUGUUGUGGGUAGCGAACUUGUCCCUCGAUUGAUAUGUGCUUGCCUUUCUGACAUUUUUUGUCGUUUGGGCAGCCGAAAUGAUGGCAAGAUCCUUGUGUAGGUGCAUGGUCGAAUGGCCUUGUUGCUAUCGCUUGGAUUUUUGCCGCCUCUCACGAAUGCAGUGCCUAGUGCUAGCUCUGUGUGACUUUACUCCGCAGACUUCGGGAGGUCCCUUGUACGAAUCAUUGCGAUCGGAUGCCGUUUGUCGUGUUGCUUGUUUGGCACGCAAAUCGUAUUGUUCUGUCUGGAGUCGGGAUGAUGAAAGUCAGAAUGAAGUGUCUGGGGCAUGAGCGCGUACAU